Pangasianodon gigas (Mekong giant catfish) is the source of this 71-nucleotide non-coding RNA. NCBI's taxonomy places the organism in Eukaryota, Metazoa, Chordata, Actinopteri, Siluriformes, Pangasiidae. The record is from the annotation of a GenBank genome assembly.
CGCAAUGGAUUAAAAUCCUGCAGUGCCCGAAAGGUACCCCUGCUUAAGAAGGCACAUGUGGAGGCCCGCCU